Molecule: ribosomal RNA, 468 nt
Filed under: uncultured bacterium
Lineage: Bacteria
Description: partial 16S ribosomal RNA
Rfam family: Bacterial small subunit ribosomal RNA
Source: RNAcentral
GACGAACGCUGGCGGCGUGCUUAACACAUGCAAGUCGAACGGAAAGGCCCUGCUUUUGUGGGGUGCUCGAGUGGCGAACGGGCGAGUAACACGUGAGUAACCUGCCCUUGACUUUGGGAUAACUUCAGGAAACUGGGGCUAAUACCGGAUAGGAGCUCCUGCUGCAUGGUGGGGGUUGGAAAGUUUCGGCGGUUGGGGAUGGACUCGCGGCUUAUCAGCUUGUUGGUGGGGUAGUGGCUUACCAAGGCUUUGACGGGUAGCCGGCCUGAGAGGGUGACCGGCCACAUGGGGACUGAGAGACGGCCCAGACUCCAACGGGAGGCAGCAGGGGGGAAUAUUGCACAAUGGGAGGAAGCCUGAGGAAGCAACGCCGCGUGCGGGAAGACGGCCUGCGGGUUGUAAACAGCUUUCGCCUGUGACGAAGCGUGAGUGACGGUAAUGGGUAAAGAAGCACCGGCUAACUACGUG